UUUGUUUUAGAGUACUCCAAUUAACAGCCCCCAUUACCCCAAAAAGGAAUGGAGUCAUUAACACUUAUGGUUUUGAAAUGGCACCCAGAAUUAUGUUGCACGAAGCACAAUUUCACAUCAUUCUGGGUUCAUUUGUGUGAAAACAAGGUCCAAUCAGGCUGAAACGUUACAGGAAGGUAGAAUCUAUUGAGUUGUAAGUGAUCUGAACGUUUCAUGAUGAUAGCACUUUCCUAAGGGGGUCAAACCAUGUCCCAAAGGUCACCGGAUCUGGUGUCAAUUUAAAGUGCAUGUCAAGUGUGCCUCAGAGUCUUACCCCACCCACGUAUCAAUUUUGAAAACUGCAACAUUAGUAGGCGUUGCCUGGAGGACCGAGAGGGCGGAGCCGCGGCAGUGACGAAGAGACGGCUAACUAGACGAAGCUAGCUCCCUUCACUCUGAGCAGUCAUUAGAAGUGGAGGACGUUUCUCCCCCUCCUUACCCAGACACUCGAGAAGAAAGGGACCAAGUCUAUUUGGAGGAGACAAGCGGACAUGAGCCUUAUUGUUUUGAGCUUGUGAGUUGCCUGAAAUUACUGGAACCGACCCAACAGACCCAUCUCUGAACGUGAUCCUCUGGUGUCUGCAGCUGAUCUCCUGCUGAUGUCGUCGGGAUCAGGAGCUUCCAGAAGAAUGUGCCUUUCAAUGACUCUUUCCCCCUUAUUUGUUAUAUUAAUUAAAUAAAUCUCAAUUUAUAUAUUUCCUGUUUUUGUUCAUGUCCAUAAAUACUUAAACAUGCUUGAAAUUAAAACGAGCUUUUAA
Molecule: non-coding RNA, 797 nt
Organism: Nothobranchius furzeri (turquoise killifish)
Lineage: Eukaryota; Metazoa; Chordata; Actinopteri; Cyprinodontiformes; Nothobranchiidae
Source: RefSeq, a predicted model, not a curated record